RNAcentral lists this ribosomal RNA (161 nucleotides) under uncultured Russula. Its description in RNAcentral is "partial 28S ribosomal RNA". It matches the Rfam family "Eukaryotic large subunit ribosomal RNA", at positions 1 to 158 of the family's 3401-position model. The record is from RNAcentral. Lineage: Eukaryota; Fungi; Basidiomycota; Agaricomycetes; Russulales; Russulaceae.
UUGACCUCAAAUCGGGUGAGACUACCCGCUGAACUUAAGCAUAUCAAUAAGCGGAGGAAAAGAAACUAACAAGGAUUCCCCUAGUAACUGCGAGUGAAGCGGGAAAAGCUCAAAUUUAAAAUCUGGUGGUCUUUGGCCAUCCGAGUUGUAAUUUAGAGAAG